AUUGUGUCGACGUAACAAGAAAGCCCGGUAACGAAGAACAAUGAACACUAUGUCCAACACCAGCAUUCAACCCCGUGAAGAAUGCAGGUUUAAUGCUUGCUUAUAUCUGGAUGAUAGUUAUGUUUGUGGCAGCUCUCGUUUUCGUGAUUGGAUUCCUGUAUCAAUUUAUUUUUUAAGGUAAUGGAAUUAUUCUCGUUUGAAAUAUUCGAUGGUAAAAUGUAUGGUAUUCCCUGAUUUCUUUAAAAAAACGAGUUGAACGAAGGAAGCAUGAAAUGCGUGAGAUCGUACUUAUUUAACGAAUUUUCAAAUUUGUAUAUAAUAUGUAAUAUAUAUAACAUUAUGUUUU
This is a long non-coding RNA of Apis dorsata (giant honeybee), 346 nucleotides long. RefSeq lists it as uncharacterized. The transcript has 3 exons. NCBI's taxonomy places the organism in Eukaryota, Metazoa, Arthropoda, Insecta, Hymenoptera, Apidae. The record is from RefSeq and is a predicted model, not a curated record.